GGGCGUUCGAGGGUGAUAGGGCGGAAGAGUGUAGCAAAGCUAUCGGCCAAGAGAAUGGCCUGCAGGGGGACGCGUGAUAGUUCCUCCUCCGCAUCUUCGCCUACCGUUCCUCCUCUGCUCCCUUUCUUCGCCACCAUUGCGCUUUAACGACCAAACUUAUGCUGCUGUGUAUAUAACAUCUAUGAGAGGAAUCAAGCAAGAAAACCUUUUUCUUUUUAAAGGGAAAUCACGCAAGAAAUCAAAACAGUUGCUUUUGCACUAAUCUAUAUACAUCUAUAUAUAUAAAAGCUGAGCACAUUUAGCCAUUUUUUCCGCCAAUAAGCUAUCUCUUUAUAUCUUUUAUAUCUACUUAAAUCUACAUAUCCACAUCCAGCAAUACCCAACAGUUUGGCUCCAAGAAAUGAAUCAAUAUAAAUAUCAGUUCAGCCCCAGAAGUUAUCAUCAUUCCCAAAAAUCAAGGGGGUUUAUACCUACGUCCAAGGAGGAGGCGGGGCGACGGGGAAGCUGGGCAGUCGGCGAGGGCGGCGGCACGGAGGCCGGAGACGAGAGAGUGACAGAGACAGAAAGCGGGACACGAGAGUGAGAAGAGAGAGAACAAUUUGAUUUAACAAUUAUUUAUGGAAAUUUUGGAAUUUGACAAAAAGAUAAUAAAA
RNAcentral lists this long non-coding RNA (653 nucleotides) under Salvia miltiorrhiza (redroot sage). RNAcentral's name for it is "long non-coding RNA (SMIL_LNC002859)". The record is from RNAcentral. Lineage: Eukaryota; Viridiplantae; Streptophyta; Magnoliopsida; Lamiales; Lamiaceae.